Molecule: long non-coding RNA, 1711 nt
Organism: Bos taurus (domestic cattle)
Lineage: Eukaryota; Metazoa; Chordata; Mammalia; Artiodactyla; Bovidae
Source: Ensembl
CUCCCGCCCGCGCCCCCUCCUCCCGCCUCCUCCCUCCGCCCUCCUCCUCCUAAUUCUUCCCCGCGCGCCCGGCGGGGCCGGAGAGACCGAGAGGUGGCUGCGGGGAGGCGUAACGGGGAGCCGCGGCUCGGAGCCGAGGACGCCGAGCCGGGACCGGGGAACCUGGGAAGCACACUUGAGUCACAGCUGGCCUGUGGUUUUUACAUCUCAUCAGGGACCACUCUCUUCACAGCCUUAUCUUCGCUCCUCCCCAUACAGGUGGCAGUUUUCUGAAGUUGCUCAUUGAGACUUCUCAGCAUUCCUACAGAUAUAAUAGCCACAGCAAUCCAUUCUUCCCACUGAAGAAGGCAGUAAAACAGCUUUGAAGUUCCAAGGGUUUAUUGAAAAUAUGGUGCUGGGAAGAAUAAAAGGAAAUUUAAUACCAUGGAAUCUGGAAACAACCACUGAAAUCCAGUCUUUUGAACACAUAUGAUACACUAAUUCCCAGAGAUUUAAGACAGCUCCAUUUGCUUCCUGAGGCUGUCAGGCUCCUUAUGACCAAGACACGGAAAGGUUCUUCAGCACAAAUAUGCCAUGAUGAUAUUUUAUUUACUAUGAAUAUUGACCGUACAUGAAUAUGGGAUGUCCUGGGGUUCUGCCUUCCCUUAUUGAUAUCAAGUUGGUACUCUCCUUAGAUCUGGUUCCCCCAAUACAGAUCCUGUGACAAAGAUUUAAACACAAGUAAGCUAUGGAUGUGAGAGUUGGACUGUGAAGAAGGCUGAGCGCUGAAGAAUCGAUGCUUUUGAACUGUGGUGUUGGAGAAGAUUCUUAAGAGUCCCUUGGACUGCAAGGAGAUCCAACCAGUCCAUUCUGAAGGAGAUCAGCCCUGGGAUUUCUUUGGAAGGAAUGAUGCUGACUGAAGCUGAAACUGCAGUACUUUGGCCACCUCAUGCAAAGAGUUGACUCAUUGGAAAAGACUCUGAUGCUGGGAGGGAUUUGGGGCAGGAGGAGACGGGGACGACAGAGGAUGAGAUGGCUGGAUGGCAUCACUGACUCGAUGGAUGUGAGUCUGAGUGAACUCCGGGAGUUGGUGAUGGACAGGGAGGCCUGGAGUGCUGCGAUUUGUGGGGUCGCAAAGAGUCAGACACGACUGAGCGACUGAACUGAAGCUACCUGGGAGCUUAUCCUGAAAAGCAUUUUUAGGGGCCUAGGCACGUGAGGCAGGGAGAAGAAAGCCAAGAAAAGGGUGCUCUUGAGCAGGUUGCUCAAUCCCUGGUGAAUUCUAAGAAACAGUCUUCAGAAACAUCCCAUCUGAGGGGCCGGAACACUUGCACACGUCUCCUCCAGCCCAUAUGUGUCCUUGCGAGCUGCUCCCGAGGCCGGAGGUUAAGCUCUGUGUCUUGCAGGGGUCAGAAGAAAACCCUCAGGGGAAGGCCCCGAGUCCUUGCUGUGUGCAUGUGUGGGAGAGGGUGCUGAGGCGGGUACGACCAGGGCACCAACUGUGUGUGCUGCUUUAACCUUCUUUUUCUUGUUGUUAGAACAACUCAGCAAAAUAAAAUUCCAGGUUACUAGUGGACCACGUUGUUUCAUGGAUGGACUAGGUCGCUUGAGGUGGUCAGAGACAAAGCACAGGCGGAGACUGUUAGCAGAAAGUACUUAAGUCAUGUCUGUGCCUGAUUGAUGUCAGGGUGGAUUUGAAAAAUACUGGAAAUUAGCAACUUUUUGAAAUGGG